UACGUAGGUGGCAAGCGUUGUCCGGAUUUAUUGGGCGUAAAGCGCGCGCAGGCGGUUUCUUAAGUCUGAUGUGAAAGCCCACGGCUUAACCGUGGAGGGUCAUUGGAAACUGGGAGACUUGAGUGCAGAAGAGGAAAGUGGAAUUCCAAGUGUAGCGGUGAAAUGCGUAGAGAUUUGGAGGAACACCAGUGGCGAAGGCGACUUUCUGGUCUGCAACUGACGCUGAGGCGCGAAAGCAUGGGGAGCAAACAGGAUUAGAUACCCCCGUAGUCC
RNAcentral lists this ribosomal RNA (273 nucleotides) under uncultured bacterium. Its description in RNAcentral is "partial 16S ribosomal RNA". It matches the Rfam family "Bacterial small subunit ribosomal RNA", at positions 524 to 796 of the family's 1533-position model. The record is from RNAcentral.